GUCCACAAUAUGGGAGUUGUCCAGUAGCCAGCUCUUCAUUGGUCCUGGGGUGAUGUCCUCCAGCUGAUGAUAUUUUCGGCACUUAGAUGAUUCAAAUUGGGCGCGUUCAGUAAAAAAAAGCCGAAACCUUAAGUGGACAUAAUCCUUUACUUCCGCGUUCCAUUUGCGUUCCACGUGCGUUCCGUUGCUCUCUCUAAGUCACAUCAGGGAGACAGCAUUGCAAGUGAUCACAGAAACGGCUGAAUAGCCAAAUAGUAACAAAUAAACUAAAUACAAU
This is a non-coding RNA of Pelobates cultripes (western spadefoot toad), 277 nucleotides long. NCBI's taxonomy places the organism in Eukaryota, Metazoa, Chordata, Amphibia, Anura, Pelobatidae. The record is from the annotation of a GenBank genome assembly.